GCAUGGAUAGCCGAAUGGUUCCUGGUGCAGCUGCUACUGAAAUUGAAUUAGCUAAGAGAGUGAAAGAGUAUUCAUUUAAAGAAACAGGGUCAGUACGUCAAAGCUGUCUUUCUACAUUUAUGCUUCGUACUUUCUAGAAAUUUCAUGAUCUUCCUAUGCAUGCAGGUAUAUUGAGAUGAUUUCUUUGGAUCAAUUCUUGACAACAUUUGUAGUUGAGGCCUUUAGAAUGGAAGAAUGUAUUUCACUAAUUUUUGUAUACAUUUCUUGUUUUGUAUUUAGUGAUAAAGGAAUCUGAAUUGGGCAUAAAUUAUGUUGUAAUAUGAUUUCUUAAGCCUAGACUAGUAGACUAAAUAUUGUAAUUACAUUUUGAGUAAUUAAUA
Humulus lupulus (European hop) is the source of this 380-nucleotide long non-coding RNA. RefSeq lists it as uncharacterized. Lineage: Eukaryota; Viridiplantae; Streptophyta; Magnoliopsida; Rosales; Cannabaceae. The transcript is spliced from 3 exons. The record is from RefSeq and is a predicted model, not a curated record.